GGUUUCUUAAAAAGGCGUGGCGUUGGGGCUGGGGCCCGGGGGCACAUUCUUUGGUUUCUGCAUGGUUUUCCCGCCCCCCCCCCCCCCGCCCGUGUUUUUCCAGCAGGAUGUGAGCCGUUGUAGCCAUUGGAAGACGUGUGGGUUUCGCGUUGUGAAAGGCCCCCUCAGUUUCCAGGGCAGUGAGGCGUGGGGAGCACAUUUCAGGCCUUGCGCCCGGCUCCUUGGGGACCCUGCCGUGGGUAGGAGUUUAAGGAGCUGGAUGGCCAGUGUGCGGCGGAGCUGCAGGCAACCAGCAGUGAGCCUGGGAAAGGACCUGGGAAGGCGGGCGGGGCUGGUGCACGUGGGCCUCACAACCAUGGCCAUCUCCAUGUCUCCAGGCAGCAGGGCCAGCGCCUUAACCAGAGCGGGGAUGCACGGAUGUAACGCUGUGUUGGCAACCCCACCCCCACCCCCGUGAUGACGGUGGAGAAUGGCUUUGCAAGUGACCAGGGUAGAGCAGGUGCCCGAGCCUGCGCCGGCUGUGGUGUGUUCAACCUGAUGGCUACCGCCGCCAUCCUCCACUCACCACGCACACGGCGUCCCUCAAAGCCCUGGUUCCUGACCUCAUUGUCCCACUUGGCUCCCUACUGCUCCUGCUUCAGAGACCAUGUGUGUUGGCUCCCAGCCCUGAGGCUCUGAGUGGCCUCCGUCUGAGCCAGGUCCCGCGGGGCUGGACCCAAAGGGAGCAGGAAGGAGUCCACAAGAUGGGAAGCGUGCCGGAGCCCCACCGCCUGACUUUGCUGAAGGUCAGCGCCUGGUUUCUGCUUGGUCCUCCUCCCUGGGCUGGGGCCUCCUCAGGGGGUGGAUCCUCGGGGAGCAGGAGGCUUGGCAGGAAGCUGAUGUUCGGGGGAGGGGGGGGGCGAGCGCCAAGGCGCACAAGGCUUAAUUGUGCUGGACGUUGCCCGGACAGCCCAGGCCUCCGUGGCCAAGACCUGAUUGCGAGGCUGGGAGGACGCAUUUGACUGUCCCCAGGGCCACCCUAUCAGCUCGCCCUAGGAAGGGUGAGAGGGUGGGGGCCCAUCCAGCUGAAGCCCAGCAGGUCAAGGACAGGGCGGGAGCAGGCUCUGGCCGACGCGGUCUCGGAGGCAGUGACGUGCCGGCCACGUCACACGGCCGGGCUCUUUCUUUGGCUGAGCCGCAGCCGCCUUUGCUGUCCCAGUGCUGCAGGGGCUUCGGUUGUCAGCUGCUCCCCAAGCACUUGCCGGGUGCUGGGAAAAGAGUUUCCGUCUGCAGCUCCAGGGAGGGCAGGGUCCCGGGAGAGGCCGCCGCUCUGCAGCUGUCACUGAAACACGCUGUCCCCAGGCCUGCAGUGGUGGGGAAUGGGCACAGGGCAGCAGGACCCUCGAGCUGGGGAGACCCCCUGUGGGUGUGCAGUGCGUUGCUGCCCACUGCCGAGGGGUCUCCACCGCGUCCUCUCGUGUAAGGAGAACUCAGGACCCCCGGACGCUCACCUCCCCCGAGCCCCGGGAGCCGCCGUCUGCUCUGCUCCUAGAGCGGCUUCCCGGGGCGGGGCGGCCGGGCAGUGGGCGUCCUUCUGUGUCUGGCUCCCUUGUCUCAGUUGUAAGCGCAAUGUCCUCCAAGGCCCAUCCUCGCCCUUGCAAAGGUGGGAUUUCCUUCUUAGGGCUGAAUAAAUACCUCAGCAGAGUGGUUUAAGAAAAAGAC
Molecule: long non-coding RNA, 1701 nt
Filed under: Oryctolagus cuniculus (rabbit)
Lineage: Eukaryota; Metazoa; Chordata; Mammalia; Lagomorpha; Leporidae
Description: lncRNA (ENSOCUG00000030039.1)
Source: RNAcentral